This 86-nucleotide antisense RNA is filed under the name Xanthomonas euvesicatoria. RNAcentral's name for it is "sRNA asX2". It matches the Rfam family "Xanthomonas sRNA asX2". Lineage: Bacteria; Pseudomonadati; Pseudomonadota; Gammaproteobacteria; Lysobacterales; Lysobacteraceae. The record is from RNAcentral.
UCGAAGGUUGUUGGGUGGUCUGCGCAGCGAGUGAUGAUCCAUCGCGUUGCCAAACCGCAAAAAAAAAGCCCCGACAAGCGGGGCUC